RNAcentral lists this ribosomal RNA (535 nucleotides) under Dujonia zeylanoides. RNAcentral's name for it is "eukaryotic LSU rRNA". It matches the Rfam family "Eukaryotic large subunit ribosomal RNA", at positions 62 to 602 of the family's 3401-position model. Lineage: Eukaryota; Fungi; Ascomycota; Pichiomycetes; Serinales; Debaryomycetaceae. The record is from RNAcentral.
AAACCAACAGGGAUUGCCUCAGUAACGGCGAGUGAAGCGGCAAAAGCUCAAAUUUGAAAUCUAGCACUUUCAGUGUUCGAGUUGUAAUUUGAAGAAGGUAACUUUGGUUUUGGCUCUUGUCUAUGUUCCUUGGAACAGGACGUCACAGAGGGUGAGAAUCCCGUGCGAUGAGAUGCCCAAUUCCAUGUAAAGUGCUUUCGAAGAGUCGAGUUGUUUGGGAAUGCAGCUCUAAGUGGGUGGUAAAUUCCAUCUAAAGCUAAAUAUUGGCGAGAGACCGAUAGCGAACAAGUACAGUGAUGGAAAGAUGAAAAGAACUUUGAAAAGAGAGUGAAAAAGUACGUGAAAUUGUUGAAAGGGAAGGGCUUGAGAUCAGACUUGGUAUUUUGCGUUCCCUUCCUUUUUGGUUGGGUUCCUCGCAGUUUACUGGGCCAGCAUCGGUUUGGAUGGUAGGAUAAUGACAUUGGAAUGUAGCUUUACUUCGGUGAAGUGUUAUAGACUUUGUUGAUACUGCCUAUCUAGACCGAGGACUGCGUCU